CUCAGGAUGAACGCUGGCGGCGUGCCUAAUACAUGCAAGUCGAGCGAACUGAUUAGAAGCUUGCUUCUAUGACGUUAGCGGCGGACGGGUGAGUAACACGUGGGCAACCUGCCUGUAAGACUGGGAUAACUUCGGGAAACCGAAGCUAAUACCGGAUAGGAUCUUCUCCUUCAUGGGAGAUGAUUGAAAGAUGGUUUCGGCUAUCACUUACAGAUGGGCCCGCGGUGCAUUAGCUAGUUGGUGAGGUAACGGCUCACCAAGGCAACGAUGCAUAGCCGACCUGAGAGGGUGAUCGGCCACACUGGGACUGAGACACGGCCCAGACUCCUACGGGAGGCAGUCAGUAGGGAAUCUUCCGCAAUGGACGAAAGUCUGACGGAGCAACGCCGCGUGAGUGAUGAAGGCUUUCGGGUCGUAAAACUCUGUUGUUAGGGAAGAACAAGUACAAGAGUAACUGCUUGUACCUUGACGGUACCUAACCAGAAAGCCACGGCUAACUACGUGCCAGCAGCCGCGGUAAUACGUAGGUGGCAAGCGUUAUCCGGAAUUAUUGGGCGUAAAGCGCGCGCAGGCGGUUUCUUAAGUCUGAUGUGAAAGCCCACGGCUCAACCGUGGAGGGUCAUUGGAAACUGGGGAACUUGAGUGCAGAAGAGAAAAGCGGAAUUCCACGUGUAGCGGUGAAAUGCGUAGAGAUGUGGAGGAACACCAGUGGCGAAGGCGGCUUUUUGGUCUGUAACUGACGCUGAGGCGCGAAAGCGUGGGGAGCAAACAGGA
Molecule: ribosomal RNA, 774 nt
Filed under: Bacillus sp. CG(2010)
Lineage: Bacteria; Bacillati; Bacillota; Bacilli; Caryophanales; Bacillaceae
Description: bacterial SSU rRNA
Rfam family: Bacterial small subunit ribosomal RNA
Source: RNAcentral